This is a long non-coding RNA of Meriones unguiculatus (Mongolian gerbil), 4652 nucleotides long. RefSeq lists it as uncharacterized. NCBI's taxonomy places the organism in Eukaryota, Metazoa, Chordata, Mammalia, Rodentia, Muridae. The transcript is spliced from 3 exons. The record is from RefSeq and is a predicted model, not a curated record.
UCACCCUAUAAAAACAGAACGUAUUUGCUCACGGGAAACAUGUCAGAACAGCAGCUGUAGAGAGCAAGUGUUGACUGGUCCCCGUCCAAUCUGCUAACUUCCAGAUAAAGCCUGGGAUCUGAUAGGUGACACACUGUCGUAACAUUUGCAGCGGGGGGCUUUUCUCGUUCAUCAUUUCAGCACCAAACAUGAGAGUCUAUCAAUAAACUUUCAAGACAAGCGCUGUUCCCACGACACAUGGUAGAUCCAGAGUCGGGGAAGCUCCAUUUUUGACAGCAAUGCUAAAGCCAUUGAGAUGCCUGACCUGUACCAUUGAGGUGAGCGGGCCCCAGUGCUGGGGGAUAGAGCAACCUUUUACAGGCCGGGUGUACAUGCCUUUAAUCCCAGCACUCGGGACACAGAGGCAGGUGGAUCUCUGUGAGUUUGAGGCAGCCUAGUCUACAUUGUGAGUUCCAGGACUGCCAGGGCUACAUAGUGAGACCCUGCUUUAAAGCUGAAGUUACAAUUGGUUAUUAACCUCCAUGUAGGGCUUGGGAGCCGAACCUGGAGUCUCUGCAAAAGAGACCAGCUGAGACUGCAGUGGGCCUAGAUCCUUCUGGCCAGGGCUCCUACAGGCGGUUGAGUUGAGUGUGGCUUUACUCUGGGCUCAAGGAUCCAGCAGCUGAGGAGGCAUGGACACACCCAGGACAGUUGAGAGCAUUAUUCAGACAUCAAGUAUUUCCAAAAAGGUCAGAAGAGAGAAUUGGAUCUCCUGGAACUAGAAUUACAGACGAUUGUGAACAUCCAUGUAGGUGCUGGGAAUUGGACCUGGGUCUUCUGCAAGUGCAACAAGUCACUGAGCAUCUCUCCAGCCCCACCAGAGAGCUCGUUAAGCAUCACAUGGUAACACCCACUCCUUCUCCCACAUGGACCAUUCUGGAGGCUCCAGUUUCAGCUUCUCCUGGGAACUUGAAGUCUAUAAAAGAUCUCGCUGUGCUUUCCCCCUGGGCCCAAUACCUCCAAAGCAGAAUUUAUCAGUGUUAGGCCCAGCAAGAGCCUAAAUAUAAGAAGGUAUGAAGAGAACUCAGGAAACUAAUCAUCCAUUGAUGCAAAAAUGCAAGAGACUCUUUUUAACCAUUGUACAAUGGGGUCACCCCUGCUGGUCAGCUAGGAGUGGCACCGGGAGACAAAGAGCUUAGGUUUUUAAAAGACACAAGGCGGGAAUCUCCUGGCGUUGACUUCUUGGCAAGUUAGGAUUGGAUGAAGUGUCUAACUUUUAAAAUAAUUGGUUGGUUCUGGGCAUCCUUAGGUCUGGUCAGCCCUGUCGUAAAUAUCUGAUCUUCAAGUCAGUUUGGCAUUUCCUGCCAUCCACAGUUAAAUGUGGGGGGUGAUUAACUCAUCCCAUGUCUGUUCUGAGGAGUGGGGGUUACAGGCUUUGGAUCAAAGGUCAGGAGAAGGAUUGGGGCCAUUUGGCCCAGUUUCCAAACAAAGCCCAUCUCACAGGUGCCAGGCGGUGAUUUUUUUCUCCAUUUAGUAGAGAUCUCUGCUUGUUCUCUUCCUUAUCUCUGCCCUCACAGAUGGCUAAUGUCAGGAACUUUUACAUUCCUCGGUUCUCUGGAGAAGCACUAAGAGGCUUUAAUUAACAUGGGCCUAAAACUUGCAAAUAUAAGUUAUAAGGCAAUUAAAAGAAACAUAGGUUACAAAGUUAGUCUGAUUCUUUCAAUCAGCUCUCUUAGGUCUGCUUUCCUUCUUCUCCAGAUUACCUGUGGGCUUCACCAGGGACACACAAGGCAGGAAUCACAUAAGCUGCUCUUCUGCCAUCAGGUCAGUUCUAUGGCUGUCCAUUCAUAAGUAAACAUGUACCGGUCAUCCACUGGGCCAGCUGCUGCCUCAGAGGCAAGAAUCCUGAGUUGAACAGGGUGGGCUCUGGGGCUUUUUACCUCCACAUAUAUAGUUCUCCCUCUCGCCCUCUCUGCUUCUCCCAGUUCUGAUCCCGCAUGGCUGCCACACUCAUGACAGCCUGUUUUCUCAGCAACUUAUUGUACUCAUUUUCUGAUGUGAUCCUCACCCCUCCUUAGUUUUCAUCCUGAAAUGUGGCCCUUUGCUGCCUUGAUGCCUCUCCAUUAUCUUCAGACCAGUUCUCAGACAUCUGGGCUGGAUAGAGCAGCUUGCAAGAAAAUUAGCAAUGCAAAGUAAAAGCAAAAGAAAGGACAAAAUAUGAGAAUGUUGGUGCAUUCUCUGUACAGAGCCAACAACUUGCUCUUAUGCAAAGUACAGGGUUCAAAACCAACAAUGGAGGCUCCAGAGGCAACUUAGCAGCUGAAUUCCAGUGUUUAUGUCCCAGCACCCACACAGAGAGGCUGACAGUCUCCAGCAUUCUAGCUCCAUGGGAUACAAUGCCCUCUUCACGCCUCUGCAGGUACUUGCACUCAUGUGCAUGCUACACAGAGAGCCACACGUACUCUUAAUUAAAGUAAACUCUUAAAAUAUACCCAACAAUGGCCACUCAAGACUACUUCAUUUUUGUAAAAGAGCAUUUGUUUCAAAUACAGAAUAAAAAUUAAGAUUAUAAUUUCAUAGGAAAUGAGAGACCAAAAGAUAAAGUAGCAGCUAUCAUUAAGACCUAAAGUAGGUACGGUAAAGAAGUUUAGUAAUGCCCUGAGGGGAAGAGUCACCUCACUGCAUCUUUCCCCACCCACUAGAGAUACAGUUGCUAGGAAACUGGACCAUCCCCCUAGGGAGGGACACCAGGUCAUUAUAGGUCUGGGAACCUUCCUAUAGCCAAUCGAUUCAAAAUGUAACAUCUUGACCAAUAGAUGCUUGCCAGGCAGGAAUUGCCCCUGCCUUGGGCAUGCUGGGAUGGACCAGAAUCUAUAUAUCAACUAACCUGGGUGCAGCGCGCUCAGCAAGCGGUGGGGGCUGUGUAGCCCAAGCUGCAGCUUGUAAUUUACAAUAAAAAGACCCUCAUGUGCUUUGCAACAAGUCGAUUCCUGUAGAUCUUUUGGGGGCUCUCGAACUGGGUAUAAGAGAAACAAAUCUCCUAAAUUAGACAUGUACCCAAAAUUUCUGGUUUCUUCUGGCCUUGUGAAAAACACCGUGAAAGAGUGUUUGGGAACCCAAACACUCCGGGUGGAUAAAUACGUAGCCACAAAUGAACCCCUCUUCCACUAUCCAUUCCCUCAGCUCUCCACCCAGCCUUCCCCAGCCCUGCUUGGGGUUCUCACAUGGAGAACCCUGGCUCCCACAGACCUCAGUGUUGAUCUUCCUCAUCUGCCCACUGUGUUCUCUCACGUUCCCAAACAGCCACAUCAAUAUCACCCUUCUCUGCCUGACUGUCCUCCCUCAUCCUCCAGGCCUUUCCCAGGGCGUAUGUCGUCUAGGAAGUCCUUUCUUCCAGUGUUGAAGCCUGCCUGCAACUCUCCAGACACCCUGAUCGUCUCUGUCACUUACUGUGUUCUUCUCCACAGCCAUCCAUGACUGUGGGUGCCAGGCACCUACUUGAUGUUUCACAAAUUCCAACCUUUCUUAUUAACCAAUCAAUUUUAAACCAGGUGGAGCAAGGUUUAUGCAAGGACAGGUAUAUCUGAGAAUGUGCUCCUCUGAGCAGGGACAAGAUCUUGGGGGCCAGUAAUUAACAUUAGAAUAUGUAUCACCAGGCCAACCCCCAACAUUAUUUAAUUAGGAUUUUUUUUUUUUUUUGAGACAGGGUUUCAAAAUUGCCUUCUCCAGUGAAUCUCUGAGUUGUUUUUCUUUUUUAAUUUUAUUGUUUAUUACAAUUUAUUCACUGUAUCCCAGCUGUAGGCCCCUCCCUUGUUUCCUCCCAGUCUCACCUUCCCUCUUUUCUCCAUAGGUCCCUCCCCUAUGUCCACUGAUAGGGAAGGUCCUCUUCCCCUUCUAUCUGACCCUAGCUUAUCAGGUCUAAUCAGGACUGGCUGCUUUGUCUUUCUCUGUGGCCUAGCAAGGCUGUACCCCCUCCAGGGGGAGGUGAUCAGAGAGCCAGCCAAUGAAUUCAUGCCAGAGACAGCCCCUGCUCCUUUUACUAGAGAAUCCACUUGGUGACUGAGUCUAUGGGCUACAUCUGAGCAGGUCCUCUCCAUGCAUGGUCCUUGGUUGUGGUGUCAGUCUCUUCAGGCCCCCUUGAGCCCACGUUUUUUGGCUCUGUUGGUCUCCUUGUGGAGCUCCUAUAAUCUCCAGAUCUUUCUAUCUCCUUCUUCCAUAAGAAGAACUCUGCCCAAAGUUUGGCUAUGAGUCUCAGCAUCUGCUUUAAUACCCUGCCGGGUAGAGUCUUUUAGAGGCCCUCUUUGGUAGGCUCCUGUUUGGUUCCCUGUCUUCUCCAAUUUCUGAUGUCUAUCCUGUUUGCCUUUUUGAAUGAGGAUUGAGCAUCUUACCCAGGGCCCUUCUUGUUUAGCUUCUUUAAGAGUAUAAAUUUUAGUAUGUUUAUCUUAUAUAUAUGUCUAAUAUCCACUUAUAAGUGAGUAUAUACCAUGUGUGUCUUUCUGCUUCUGGGUUACUUCACUCAGGAUGAUCUUUUCUAGACCCAUCCAUUUGCCUGCAGAUUUCAUGAUUUCCUUGUUUUUUAUCGCUGAGUAAUAUUCCUUUGUGUACCAUAAUUUCUGUAUCCAUUCCUCAACUGAGGGACAUCUGGGCUGUUUUCAGCUUCUGGCUAUUACAAA